AAGCCUAUGAAUAACCUAUUGGGCUAAAAUUGAGUUUCUCUGGCACUUUCACCUUCCGCUAUUAGGUCUGACGUCAACAGCGCAAUAAGGCAAGGAGCUCUAGCAGGGAAGCCACUCACAAGCACGUGCUCUCGUCAGCGAGGAAAGAUGUCGAUGUACUGCCUUUCAGAAAAUCACCAAAGAAUGAAGAAUAGGAAGGAAUGUCGGAAGAGUUGCUCAGCAGCGAAGCUGCAAGUUUAACAAGAGGUUUUCCCCAUAUAUUACUGAAAACAAUGGGAUGAAAAGAAAACUGAUAUGUAAUAUCUUCA
Long non-coding RNA from Limulus polyphemus (Atlantic horseshoe crab), 308 nucleotides. RefSeq lists it as uncharacterized. NCBI's taxonomy places the organism in Eukaryota, Metazoa, Arthropoda, Merostomata, Xiphosura, Limulidae. The transcript is spliced from 3 exons. The record is from RefSeq and is a predicted model, not a curated record.